Small nuclear RNA from Apodemus sylvaticus (European woodmouse), 106 nucleotides. The record is from RefSeq and is a predicted model, not a curated record. NCBI's taxonomy places the organism in Eukaryota, Metazoa, Chordata, Mammalia, Rodentia, Muridae.
AUGCUCGCUUUGGCAGCAGAUACGCUAACAGUGGAGCCAUACAGAGAUUUUAGCAUGGUCUCUGUGGAAGGAUGACACACAAAUGCAUGAAGUGUUCCAUUAUUUU